AAGAUACUCCCUCCGUCCCAAAAUUCUUGUUUUAGAUUUAUCUAGAUACGGAUGUAUCUAACACUAAAAUAUGAAUAGAUACGUCCGUAUAUAGAUAGUGUUAGAUACAUCCGUAUUUAGAUAAAUCUAAGACGAGAAUUUUGGAACGAAAAAAGUACUAU
This is a non-coding RNA of Triticum aestivum (bread wheat), 161 nucleotides long. The record is from Rfam. Lineage: Eukaryota; Viridiplantae; Streptophyta; Magnoliopsida; Poales; Poaceae.